RNAcentral lists this ribosomal RNA (332 nucleotides) under uncultured bacterium. RNAcentral's name for it is "bacterial SSU rRNA". It matches the Rfam family "Bacterial small subunit ribosomal RNA", at positions 568 to 898 of the family's 1533-position model. The record is from RNAcentral.
UGCGUAGGCGGUUCGGGAAGUCGGGUGUGAAAGCCCUCAGCUCAACUGAGGAACUGCGCCCGAAACUGCCGGACUCGAGGGAGACAUAGGUGAGCGGAACUUAGGGUGGAGCGGUGAAAUGCGUUGAGAUCCUAAGGAACACCAGUAGCGAAAGCGGCUCACUGGGUCUCUUCUGACGCUGAUGCACGAAAGCUAGGGGAGCGAAGAGGAUUAGAUACCCUCGUAGUCCUAGCCGUAAACGAUGAGCACUGGUUUGGAGGGUCCUCCAUAGCCUUCCAGACGUAGCGAAAGUGUUAAGUGCUCCGCCUGGGGAGUAUGGUCGCAAGGCUGAA